GCUGCCUGUCCCUCGCCCAGUGCGGGGAAACUGGUCCGAGAGAAUGAAUGGCUUUCGCCGAGCGCCGGAAGCUGACGGGCGUGGGGCGCUUCUUGCCCCCAAGCACCCGCGCCCGCGUGGGGUGUCCCUCAGCCCGGGUCUCUACUCUGAGGCACUAUUCCUAGGCCUCCAAGGUGUCUCCUCAAAGACUGGCUGACCCACUUUCCAGAUGGAGCCAACAUCAUCCUCUGUCUCAUCCAUAAAUCAUGAACAGAAGGCCCAGGAAAUGAGAAGCGGAGUCCCCACUGGGAGAGUAGCAGAGCUUCCAGCAUGAGGCCCACAACGAGAUCACAGAAGCACAGCAGAAUUCUCCAGAAAGCCAGUUGUGAUCAAUGGCAGCACAGCCUGGUCCCACAGGAAAUGUUCCUGGAUUUUAAAACACAAAUAAACAGUAAUGCAGAAAUUAGAGAAGAUGUAUCAUUUACCAAAUUUAAUCUGGCACAUUUAAUAAUACAUUAUGAUAAUUAUGGCACCUGAAAGCUAGAUAUAAAUACUCAUUCAUUUGCAAUUCAUUGGCAAUAAUAGUUAUUUCUGAGAUUCCCUCAGACCAAUGAUGGUAAAGAGAAAAGAUAAAGUUAAUGAGCUUCUCCUCUGAGAGAAGGAGGUCACAGGCCACUCUUCCGGUCGUCAUUCCCUAUAAAGGAUUAAAGGUAUGAGCUCAGGGAAGGAUGACUUCCCCCAGUACUUUCUUGAAGUUCUUUUGGAAGAAGAAAUAGUUAGAUACCCUAGAGAGUCUGAUUUUGGUGUUCAUUUAGAAGUCAAAGGCAUGAGGUCAGACCUUGGUCUCAUAAUAGAUUAGCAGCAAGAGAAAUUAUUACUGUGGGUUUUGUUUUUGUAUUUAUUUAUUUAUUUAGACAUCAAGAAACUGUGAAACUGAGCAGCCCUUCAGUAGGAGCUGGUAGGAAAGGCAGCUUGAUAUGUAAGCAAUCUAGAAAAACAGCUGUACUUUCAGUAAUUAAUAAAAUUUAGUCCAAGUAUUUGCCUAAGACUUUUGCUUUUUAGUACUCAUACUUUUUACUACUCAUUCCAAGUAAAUUAAGAAUUGAAGUCGGAAGGGCCAGAUCACAGAAUGUCUCUUAAAUAUAGGCAAAUGAUUCUAGAUUUUAUACAGUAAUUCCUUGAUCACUAAUAAGUUUGUCUCUAAUAUUGACCCAAAGGUGAGGAAAAGAGUAGUUCUCAGACAAAAAAAUGCCCAGGAAUAGGUGUCAACAUAGCCGAAUGACUUGUGAAUUAGUGAAUUCCUACAAGCCAGGACAGAGCUUUUGAAAAUUAUAAUAAAGUUAUUUUCCUCUCCAGUUUUUUGGCAUUGUAUUACAAUGUCUAGGAAGGAAGCUAGGUUUCCCCACCCUCACAUAUACUCCCUUCUAUGAAGAAGGCAGAUAUAGGACAAGGACCAGGACAGUACUGGACCAUAGCACUAAGGGGUAGGCUUUUAGGCAUUAAGAGUGCGGAAGAUAAAAUUUAAAAAUCAAUCCAUCUUAAUCAAUAAAACAUCUUACCUCUGCAUAGUAUACCUACCUGAAUUCCUUUUUUGGAAUCUUUUUCCUUAUUUAAACUUGUCAUUUGAGCAGCUGAAGUAAAAAUAUGGGCCAGGACCCUCUUCUUAGUGAGAAAAUCACUUCCUACCUUCACCCCAACAACAUCGUCACUAAAACAAAUCAAUAAAAACAGCCUCCAAUCAAAGGUCAAAGGAAACCAGAGGGAGCUAAGGGAAAAUGCACCAUUAAGUGGGCAGUUCAGCCUGGUCAUUCUAGCUCUUCCUUCUAAGAGCUUUAGUUUUAAUUCAUAAAUUAUCUCUUCCUGGUUUGGUUUGGCUUUUGUGUUUUUUUUCUUGCCAUAAAAGUGAUAAGGCAUGAAAUUCCAAGUUUAGGGUGUGAGCCUGGGGGAAAAAUUGCCAAGAAAACUAUUUGGUUGCCUUCAGGCUAGGCUUCUAAGUCUUAGGGGCAAAAAAAAAAAAAAGAAAAAAAAAUUCGUUGCUACUGCUCCUAGCUGAACGCACUAGACAGAGGGGCCAUGUCCAAGUUGGAGUCGAAAUUCUAACAAUUAACAAUAUGUGUGACUUGGGGGUGGUUUUCACCUCCUACACACAAAGCUGAAUGAGGACCCCAUUCAGUCUGGCUGGCCACAUUCUUUAUGACCAAGACUGAUUCAUACCUCCCACUGCCAUUGGAUGGCUGUGAGGUGGCAUGCAGGAGUCUUGCCUGUUACUGGGCAGGUUAGGCUAGGCACAUGCCCUCUGAGCCUGGGCUGGGCAGAUCUCUCAUACCAGGUACUCUGCAACUCAGAAGGACCACAGGGAACACAGGGGAACCAUGUGAGGACACAGUCAAACACAGGAGUAGGGGACCAAGACCAUGCAUCCAUCCUGAAUGGUUUUUUUGUUUUUUUUUUUGAGAUGGAGUCUCACUCUGUUGCCCAGGCUGGAGUGCAGUGGCGCAAUCUCGCUUCACCGCAACCUCCACUUCCGGAAGGGUUCAAGCAAUUCUCCUCCCUCAGCCUCCUAAGUAGCUGGGACUACAGGCACCUGCCACUAUGCUCAGCUAAUUUUUGUAUUUUUAGUAGAGAUAGGGUUUUAUCAUGUUGGCCAAGCUGGUCUUGAACUCCUGACCUCAGGUGAUCCACCCAUCUCAGUUUCCCAAAGUGCUGGGAUUACAGGCAUGAGCCACUGUGCCCGUUCUGUUCCUGUUCAAUGCAAACAGUGCUUUUUCUUGAGGUCUGACCACUGGACAACAAGAGUCAAGUGCCAGUCACCAAGAUUUUGAAACUCCAAAUUUGUUUUUGUUUUUGUUUUUGCUUUUUGUUUUCGAAUCAUUGUAAGCAAAAAUCUCAGUUAACAAACUCGGAUAUAUAUGGAGUAUGGUUUUAAAUACUCUAGAAGCUAAAUUUUUACUUUAAUACUUCAUCUGAAUGAGCAAAUCAGAAAUUCAGCCU
Molecule: long non-coding RNA, 2970 nt
Filed under: Homo sapiens (human)
Lineage: Eukaryota; Metazoa; Chordata; Mammalia; Primates; Hominidae
Description: HSALNT0160119
Source: RNAcentral